RNAcentral lists this small RNA (98 nucleotides) under Ensifer fredii. RNAcentral's name for it is "Sinorhizobium fredii miscellaneous other RNA". Lineage: Bacteria; Pseudomonadati; Pseudomonadota; Alphaproteobacteria; Hyphomicrobiales; Rhizobiaceae. The record is from RNAcentral.
AAGUUUCGCGUGAUCUUUGAACCGUUGCCGGCGGCAGCGAACGAGCGCGCCUAAGAUCUUAUCCUCCCAAGACUUGACCGCGAAAUUCGGCAAGAAUU